Molecule: unclassified non-coding RNA, 722 nt
Filed under: Hevea brasiliensis (rubber tree)
Lineage: Eukaryota; Viridiplantae; Streptophyta; Magnoliopsida; Malpighiales; Euphorbiaceae
Source: RNAcentral
AAACACUUUAAUGGUCCUCGAGUAAAGCCAUUGACGAGUUGUUCUCUUCCCUAUAUAUUCCUUCGCAAUACCCUUCUCUUUCUUUCUCAACGAACCCCUAACCAAUUUCUCUUUUCCUUCUUUAAUCUGCUUUUCCUUUCUCUCAUCAUGGGCAAUUACGUUUCUUGCACUCUAUCCACUCCUUUGAUCAAGAAUUCCAAGGCCGCCAGGGUUGUUCUUCCCACCGGAGAAGUUAGGCAAUUUCGCCAUCAGCCCGUCAAAGCGGCAGAGCUCAUGUUGGAGUGUCCUAACUUCUUCUUGGUAAACUCACAAUCUCUUCACAUAGGCAGGAGGUUCUCUGCUCUUUCUGCUGAUGAGGAGGUGGAAUUUGGUAAUGUUUACAUUAUGUUUCCUAUGAAGAGAGUGAAUUCCGUUGUCACUGCAGCUGAUAUGGCUGCACUUUUCAUGGCUGCAAAUUCAGCUGCUAAGCGUGUAUCUGGAGGGAAUAAUAGUAAUAAGGUCAGUGUCUUGCCGGAGGCCAGCAGUUCCCUGCAGGGCAGUGAAGAUGGAGGGUCAAGAUUAGGUAGUUCUGAGGAGGAGAUUGAAGGGUUUCCAAUGCCGGAAUUCAAGUACAGGUUAUCUGUGCGUAGGUCAAGGAAAUCCAUGUUAGAGACCAUAAAAGAAGAACCAGUUCGUUCAAGAUGAGAUUAUUUUACGCACGUAGAGAAUUAAAUGACUCUUGU